RNAcentral lists this ribosomal RNA (299 nucleotides) under uncultured Pseudomonadota bacterium. RNAcentral describes it as "uncultured proteobacterium partial 16S ribosomal RNA". It matches the Rfam family "Bacterial small subunit ribosomal RNA", at positions 29 to 351 of the family's 1533-position model. The record is from RNAcentral. Lineage: Bacteria; Pseudomonadati; Pseudomonadota.
AGCGAACGCUGGCGGCAGGCUUAACACAUGCAAGUCGAACGCUCCUAGCAAUAGGGGAGUGGCAGACGGGUGAGUAACGCGUGGGAACGUACCCUUUGGUUCGGAAUAACUCAGGGAAACUUGAGCUAAUACCGGAUAAGCCCCGUAAGGGGGAAAGAUUUAUCGCCGAAGGAUCGGCCCGCGUCCGAUUAGCUAGUUGGUGUGGUAAUGGCGCACCAAGGCGACGAUCGGUAGCUGGUCUGAGAGGAUGAUCAGCCACACUGGGACUGAGACACGGCCCAGACUCCUACGGGAGGCAG